This is a long non-coding RNA of Salvia miltiorrhiza (redroot sage), 625 nucleotides long. RefSeq lists it as uncharacterized. Lineage: Eukaryota; Viridiplantae; Streptophyta; Magnoliopsida; Lamiales; Lamiaceae. The record is from RefSeq and is a predicted model, not a curated record. The transcript is spliced from 4 exons.
UAGUUAUAAGAAGAGUUUGUUCCUAAAGUGCUUGAUUGAAGGUCAUAUAGUGCUAUUUCUAUAAUAGCAAUUUUAUAGAUUUUAAUAAUAGGUGUAUUUUAUUGGAUAAGUAUAGUGGACUUUAUGAAUUAGCUUAUAAGGAAAGACAACCUUCCUUUUCUCCCUUCUUCUACCAAGGUGCCGUAUCCCUCUUCUUUUCCUCAACCUCCAUGUUUGUCGAUCCAAGCUCCAAGAAUCACUCCAAAAAUCACACCUAUAUUCAUCCAGAAACGUAUAUUAAGGUUUGAGUGGCAGUGUAGAGUGAACAAGCAAAGACUUCUAUUUCAUUAAGCGUAUCAGGUUUGAGUGGCAGUGUAGAGUGAACAAGCAAAGACUUCUAUUUCAUUAAGCGUAUCAGGUUGAGCUGAUGUGAUGAUGGUGCUGCAAUGAGCGGAGUCUCCAGGGUUGUUAAUAAAUAGUUAACCUGUCUAGAAUAUGUCUUCAUACAUAUGUCUAGCUACUUUCCGCUGCAAGAUGUUGUUAAUGUUAUAGUAUGUUAUGCCAUACUUUGAGUCUUAAGAGAAUGGUUUCAUAUGAUGUAUAACUCGAUUAAUGAUAUUAAUUAAGUUUUAUGUUGUCUUUCAUA